GGUGUCCCCAUCCCCUAUGGUGUCCCAUCCCCUGUGGUGUCUCCCCGUGGUGUCCUCUCAUGGUGUCCCCGUCCCCCCUGUGGUGUCCCCAUCCCGUCUGGUGUCUCCCCGUGGUGUGCCUUUGUGGUGUCCCCAUCCCUCAUGGUGUCUUCUCCAUGGUGUCCCCAUCCUCUCUGUUGUCUCCUCGUGGCGUUCUCUCGUGGUGUCGCCAUCCUCCAUGGUAUCUGCUGUAUGGUGUCCCCAACCCCUGUGGUGUCUCCAUUUCCUGUGGUGUCUCCCUGUGGUGUCCCCUUGUGGUGUCCCCAUCCCCCAUGGUAUCCUCUCCAUGGUGCUCCCAUCGUGUCUGGUGUCCCCAUCACCUACGGUGUCCCCAUCCCCUAUGGCGUCCCCUCGUGGUGUCUCUGUUUGUCGCGGUGUCCCCAUCUCCCAUGGUGUCCCCAACCCCGUGGUUGUCCCCCUUGUGUCCCCAUCCCCUCUGAUGUCCCCUUAUGGUGUCCCUGUCCCUUGCUGUGACCCCCUACAGCGUGUCCUUGCGGUGUCCCCGUGCUCUACAAUGUCUUGUGCCCUGCGGUGUCCCCUCAAAGUGUCCUCUCGUGGUGUCCCCGUCCCCCAUGGUGUCCCCUUGCGGUGUUCCUAUCCCCCACGAUGUCCCUGUCCCCUCCCGGCAUCUCUUCCCACACGUCCCCUCCCAAUGUCCGGGCUGUCCCCUGGUACCCCACGGUCCCCUGUCACCAGCCCUGCGUGUCCCCACAGAGUGACCCCUCCUGUGGCGUGGGUUUGUCCCCGUGCCUGUUCUCGGGGGGUGGCACUUUCCCCGUCCCCUUGCAUGGCGGUGGCACUGUCCUUGUCCCUGCGCAUGAGCGACACUGUCCCCAUGCAGAGAGGUGGCACUGUCCCUGUCCGCAUGCACGAGGCUGACACCGUCCUUGUGCUUGAGAGUGACGCUGUCCCCAUGCGCGUGGGUGGCCCUGGCAUUGUCCCUGUGCAUGGCAGUGGCGCUGUCCCUGUCCCUGUGCAUGGCGGUGGCACUGUCCCGGUCCCCAUGCACAGAGGUGACACUGUCUCUGUGCAUGGGAGUGCCCCUGUCCCCGUGCACAGGGGUGGCACUGUCCCCAUCUCCUUGCACGGCGGUGGCACUGUCCCUGUCCCCAUGCACGGGGGUGACGCUGUCCUUGUCCCUGUGCAUGAGAGUGACACUGUCCCCGUGCACAGGGGUGGCACUGUCCCCAUCCCCUUGCAUGGCGGUGGCACUGUCCCUGUCCCCAUGCACGGGGGUGACGCUGUCCCCAUCCCCUUGCACGGCGGGGGGACUGUCCCUGUCCCCCUGCCCAGGGGUGGNNNNNNNNNNNNNNNNNNNNNNNN
RNAcentral lists this long non-coding RNA (1362 nucleotides) under Struthio camelus australis. Its description in RNAcentral is "lncRNA (ENSSCUG00000009777.1)". Lineage: Eukaryota; Metazoa; Chordata; Aves; Struthioniformes; Struthionidae. The record is from RNAcentral.